GGGUUCCCCAUACUUAGAACUGAAUCUCAAUUUUUUUUUCAUCAUACCAAUACGUGUGUGGUAUCUAUGGAUAGGUCUUCAAAAAUGAUAUUGAGGUUUCUAAUGUAAUUUUUUUCUAAAGUGAAUAGUUUGCGCGAGAGACACUUCCAAAGUGGUAAAAUGUGUGUCCUCCCCCUAAUUGGUUUGAACGAGAUCUAGUAAGUAGUUUUUUUUAAUACGUCAUAAA
Cydia amplana is the source of this 226-nucleotide long non-coding RNA. RefSeq lists it as uncharacterized. The transcript has 2 exons. The record is from RefSeq and is a predicted model, not a curated record. NCBI's taxonomy places the organism in Eukaryota, Metazoa, Arthropoda, Insecta, Lepidoptera, Tortricidae.